This 403-nucleotide ribosomal RNA is filed under the name uncultured bacterium. Its description in RNAcentral is "bacterial SSU rRNA". It matches the Rfam family "Bacterial small subunit ribosomal RNA", at positions 356 to 773 of the family's 1533-position model. The record is from RNAcentral.
GGGGAAUAUUGCGCAAUGGGGGGAACCCUGACGCAGCAACGCCGCGUGAGCGAAGAAGGCCUUCGGGUCGUAAAGCUCUGUCAUUAGGGAAGAAAAAAAUGACGGUACCUAAUGAGGAAGCCCCGGCUAACUACGUGCCAGCAGCCGCGGUAAUACGUAGGGGGCAAGCGUUGUCCGGAAUUACUGGGCGUAAAGGGUGCGUAGGCGGCCUGAUAAGUCAGAUGUGAAAUACCAGGGCUCAACCUUGGGGGUGCAUUUGAAACUGUUAGGCUUGAGUGCAGGAGAGGAAAGUGGAAUUCCUAGUGUAGCGGUGAAAUGCGUAGAGAUUAGGGGGAACACCAGUGGCGAAGGCGACUUUCUGGACUGUAACUGACGCUGAGGCACGAAAGCGUGGGGAGCGAAC